ACGUAGGUGGCGAGCGUUGUCCGGAAUUAUUGGGCGUAAAGCGCGCGCAGGCGGCUAUACAAGUCACAUUUAAAAGCGCUGAGCUCAACCUCGUGAUGGCAGAGAAACUGUGUGACCUGAGUGCAGGAGGGGUAGACGGAAUUUCUAGUGUAGCGGUGAAAUGCGUAGAUAUUAGGAGGAACACCGGUGGCGAAAGCGGUCUACCGGACUAAAACUGCCGCUGAGGCGCGAAGGCGAGGGGAGCAAACAG
This 250-nucleotide ribosomal RNA is filed under the name uncultured prokaryote. RNAcentral describes it as "partial 16S rRNA". It matches the Rfam family "Bacterial small subunit ribosomal RNA", at positions 525 to 775 of the family's 1533-position model. The record is from RNAcentral.